GAUGAACGCUGGCGGCGUGCCUAAUACAUGCAAGUAGAACGCUGAAGGAAGGAGCUUGCUCUUUCCGGAUGAGUUGCGAACGGGUGAGUAACGCGUAGGUAACCUGCCUGGUAGCGGGGGAUAACUAUUGGAAACGAUAGCUAAUACCGCAUAACAGUAGAUGUUGCAUGAUAUCUACUUAAAAGGUGCAAUUGCACCACUACCAGAUGGACCUGCGUUGUAUUAGCUAGUUGGUGAGGUAACGGCUCACCAAGGCGACGAUACAUAGCCGACCUGAGAGGGGGAUCGGCCACACUGGGAAUGAGACACGGCCCAGACUCCUACGGGAGGCAGCAGUAGGGAAUCUUCGGCAAUGGACGGAAGUCUGACCGAGCAACGCCGCGUGAGUGAAGAAGGGUGUCGGAUCGUAAAGCUCUGUUGUAAGAGAAGAACGAGUGUGAGAGUGGAAAGUUCACACUGUGACGGUAUCUUACCAGAAAGGGACGGCUAACUACGUG
Molecule: ribosomal RNA, 497 nt
Filed under: uncultured bacterium
Lineage: Bacteria
Description: partial 16S ribosomal RNA
Rfam family: Bacterial small subunit ribosomal RNA
Source: RNAcentral